Molecule: long non-coding RNA, 3591 nt
Filed under: Carica papaya (papaya)
Lineage: Eukaryota; Viridiplantae; Streptophyta; Magnoliopsida; Brassicales; Caricaceae
Description: long non-coding RNA (CPAP_LNC010680)
Source: RNAcentral
GAAAAUUAUAGAUAUUAAUGGUAAAUUAUAAAUAUGACAAUUACACAAACGUUGGGAAAGAAGGAGAUACUUCCAAUAAUUUUUUUAAAAAAAAUUUCAGCCUCAAAUAACAAUUAAUAUUUUAAAUUAUUUAUUAUGUAAUGAAGUAAUUAAAAAAGAAAAAAAAUUUAUAAAUUUCAAGAUUAAAAAAAACUACGAAAAAUUGUAGUUAGUUCCGUUAAAAUAAAUUACAGAAAACCCACGCCACCUCACAGAAUUCUACUCUGUCCUCUAUCUGAUCUCACUGUCUGAUCAUUCACAUCCCCAAUUUCGUUGUUGGUUUCUCCAUUCUUCGAAUUUAAACAAAACAGAGGUUUCCUAGAGUUAAGAAUCAGUAAAAUCUCUCCAUAGCCAUAUCAAAAAGCUGGUAGGUAGUACAGUGAAAUUACGUCAGCUGUUGUAAUGUUUAUUGCAAAAGAAGAAGAAAAAGAAAAACUUGAGUGAUACGGCUAUGUAGAGAUUUUACUGAUUCCUUAGCUUUAGUAGAUAUUUAAGGGUUAGGCCAAAAUAGAGAUGGAUCCAAAAACGAAUGAUGCUAACCAGAUGAAUCUUGAUUAUAAGUUUUAGAACUUACCUGGGUGUUAGCUUGUUUGCUAUUAAGAUAAACCCAAUAUAUUUGAUCAGAUGCAGCGGCCUUAAUUUGGAAUUAUGGAGAGGUUGAGCUUGCAGAGAUUGCUAGUGCCAGCUUCUUUUGAGAUUGAACCUGGAAAUGCUGGGGAUUAUGUGUUGUUAUACAAGCGGGGGGAGACACGAAGGAGAAGAGAGCGAAGGUAGCACUUCGUAAUACCUGGGCAAUGUUUAUUCUUAUAUUCCUAUAAUCUUAAUUUUUUUACAAUUAUUUAUUUUUGAAAAAGUUUUAUUAAAUAAUUAAUUUUUAUAUUUUAAGGGCGUUUUGGAAAUUAACCCCCUAUUUACCGACUAUCCUCUCUAUAUAUGCCUAGAAACCCCUUAAUUUUAAAACUCAUCCCUGCAAUUUCUUCUUUUGAUCUCCUCCCAUGAGAGACUAGGAGAUAGAGAAGGAGAGAAAGAGCGAGUCUCGCUAAAGGUUCAUCUUUUGGGCUCUUUUGUAGGACUUCCUCUCCCUCCUCCUCUAUCCCAUGGCCACUCAUGCAAAAUAUUACUAUCUAUCCUCUCUAUUGUACCUUGAAGUCCCUUAAGUUAAAACUCAUCCCUGUAGUUUUUUUCUUUUGAUCUCCUCCCAUGAGAGCCUAGGAGACAAAGGGAAAGAGAAAGAGAGUCUUGCUAAAGUUCCAACCUUUGGGCUCUUCUUUGUAGGACUUUCUUUCUCUCCCCCUCCUGUCCCCAUAGCCCUCAUGCGAAUCCAAAAAAGAAGAUAGAGUCUCCCUCAUGACAGGCUAGGAGAUAAGAGGGAGAGGGAGAAAAGUCUUUGUUGGGUUGCUUGUGAUAAGACCAAGAAUGUGUAAAGCUAGUAUUUGGUUAUUGUCAAAGCAGAAGAAAAAAGGACAAAAACAUUUGCAGUUGAGUGGGAGAAAGGGUAAGAAAUCUUUGUGGAAUCUUGCUUCAAUCUUCUUUGCCUUGCUUUUCGUUGAUCUAUGUUCUUAUCAAGAAAGCCUUCUAAGAUGAUUACGCAUGUAGAAAAUAUUAUCUUCUUUAAAAUUUUAUUGUCUUUAAUAUUACAAAGUUUGUGAAGGUAGCACCUGGGGAGGCACGAAGAAGCACAGAAAAAGAGAAAGGAAAUGAGAGAGAAGAGAGUGAAGGUAGCCCCUGAUAGUACUUGGGUUGUGUUUCAGGACUAAGAGUGAGGAUUCUUUGCCAAAACUGGAAAUCUGCAACUCGGGAAAUGGGCAACCGAUCUAUCUCUACAAAUGGAUAGACUGGAAUUCUCCACUCUAGUCAAAUUUGACUUUCAUGGACGCAACCAUCAUUACCAUAGGCGCCACCAAACGAGUAACUCGUUUCUUUUAAUUUCUUCUUUGAGCAAGCUAGCAUGUUGCUAAUCUUCAUAGGAAAAAUACUCUAUAGCAACACUUACAGUCCUCGAUAUGGAAAUCACCUAAACUUUUCAUGCAGUCAUGGUAGUACAAAGUAACCACCUCCUGGUUUUCCGGCUCAAGAAAAGAAGUCAAACCUGGAGUUUUGAACCCCAUAUAUAGAAACUAGACUCGCAGAACACAAUGCCUAGAUGGGAGGGCAAGAGGCCUUGAUGAGAAGAAAAGAGACCUCGGUAAGAAAUUUGCAAGUACAGAUUAGUCAACUUGCCAACAUUAGAUUAGAACGUAUAGAAAUGUCCUUCUUGAGCAAUACUAAAAACAAUUCCCACAAAUAGGUAAAAGGCUAUUAAAUUGAGGUGCGAAGAAUAAUUAAAUGAACUAACCAAUGAUAAAGAACCUAAAGAGAAGCAAGAUAAGAGGCAUGAAACAACCAAGAGAACCAAAAGAAAAGAUUAUACGCUUCCUGAAAAGUAAACAAGAUAAUUAAGAUGAGCAGUUUUCUGAAGUUUCAGAUAUAUUUAUGGAAUUGCACAUCAACAUUCUUUCUGUAGCAGCUUUGUCUUAGAUGCCCAACUGUAAGGGGUAGGUACUAGAAUUUAUUAACAAGAAGAACAAAUGAUUAUGAUUGUAAAGUUCAAUAUGGAAAGUUUAGGAUGUAUCUUAUUGGUAAUAUGAAGUGUAGUACAUUUUUAUGACUAUCAUGAUUAAAUUAUCAUAUACAUAUAGUCUGAGUUGAUAUUUAGAUGUCAUUAUAAUAUUGAUAUCUCAUAUGUUUUGAAGUAGUCACAGUACGUUAACUCAUUAUAUCUGUAUUUUAUCACAUUUUUUAAGGUAAUCAUAAAAGUUAAUCAAUAACAUCUAAAAUUCUAAUUAAUUUACUGAAAUAGUUGCAAAUUUUUUUGGUGAAUACUUGAAAAACAAAUGUUGACUCGAUGUUACUAUGAAAGUUUUUUAGACCCACAAUUAAGAAGUGAUUGUUAGUGUUACUUUUGUAAGUUUUAUUAAAUAAAGAUAAAUAAAUUCUUAGGAAUGCAAUGCCCACAUGAAGGUUGAGAUUUACUUAUAUAAGUUAAAAUUUUCGGUAUAUUUUCCUCAAUUUAUAGUUAUUCUUAUUGUUAUUUUUUUUUUAUUCUCAAAUUCAAUGUAUUUGCGACAAUUUUUUCUUAAGUUACAAUGUUCAACAUUCGAAUAAAAAAUACCUUAGGUAUAAUGCUUGACAUAAAUAGAAGUGUGAAUGACAUAGUAAAGAAAUAAGGGACAUUAUUGUGCCGUGUAAUAAGGAAUAAGGUAAUACUUGCACCUAUUUAUAUUAUAAAUCUUGUUGGAGUUUCUGGUAAUACUGAGUUAGUUAAUUGAGUUAUUACAAUCCUCGUUUUUAACAAUGUUUAAAGUUUUAUAAACUUGAGAAGCUUGUAAGAAGUGAAUAAUGCAUCUAUUAUAUAAAUACACAAGUUCCUAAUUUACUGGGUACAUAUAUAUUAGAGGGUAUAACUUCUGCACAAAUGUGUAAUUAAGAUUCCAAAAUUUUAUUAUCUUCAAUUAAAUAUCAUUUAAUUAUUAAAAUUAAUAUCAUUAUUUUACUGUCAUAAGACAUGUUACA